Long non-coding RNA from Olea europaea var. sylvestris, 1184 nucleotides. RefSeq lists it as uncharacterized. Lineage: Eukaryota; Viridiplantae; Streptophyta; Magnoliopsida; Lamiales; Oleaceae. The transcript has 3 exons. The record is from RefSeq and is a predicted model, not a curated record.
UAUUAUCACCUUAAAGCUUCCUGCGUUGACAUUUGAGCUAAAUUAAAGUUUAGCUCUUCGGUUGCAGAAAAAUGGGUAUUUUUCGAAAUGAUGAAACUCAGCAACCAAAGCUGGGAGGAAGGAGAGCUACUACAUUCGUAUUUGCUAUGGCAGGACUGGAGACCUUGGCAUUUAUUUCAAAUGGUGUGAGCUUAGUGACUUACUUUUUAUGGUUACAUGAACCUCAGCUUGACAAAAUCAGCCACUGCACUGAAAAAUUUCAUGGGUUCUGCGUUUCUAUUAUCAUUAUCCGGAGGAUUUAUUUCGGAUACAUACAUUUCGAGAUUCAAGACGUGCAUUGUUUUUAGAUGCAUAAAAGUAGUAGUAGGUAAAAACUCUUUAUUAUGUUCUGAUUCAUGCAUGAAUUUACUGUUAUUUGAUUCUCAUCAUCUUCAAAAUGUUGUGUUAACAAGGAAUCGGACUUUUCCUGCUUGAUUCCAAUCUGACUUUUUCCAUGUAAAUUAAAUUUACGUAGUUAACUGGCAGUUUAUACUAACCUCAGAUCUAUCAAUUAAUAAAAGUUUCUGAAACAUUUGGAUGAUAUUAUUCAUGUUAUAUUGGCUAAUUAUUAGUUAAAUGAUUAAGUGAAAUAAUAAUAGCUCAUUGAUUUUGCAAAACCAAGAUAGUGCACCAGCAAUAUAGUUGACCAUGAUACCAAUUUAUUAAAAAAAUAAUUUGCAUGCAUAUAUUUAAUUAUUGUUAAAUGAUGCUCGACAUUUUUUAAGGCUCAUUGAUGCAGUCCAUUUUUUUGGCCCUUUUAAAUGGAAUGUGACCCAGUUUUGGUACAUUGUGCACAAUCCCGCAUUACUUUAAACCCGACUUUGACAAACUGUUGAGAUGGUGUCACCUGUUGCAGGCAAAACCGUUGGAUGCAAAUGACCAUUUAUAUCCCUUGACUUCUCUCAUUUGUGCCGUGUGUUCGAGAGAUUUCUAGGGCUUUCACCCGUCUUGUUCUCUGUUCAUUCUCUCUCUGAAAACUCUUGGUUUUCAUCUGUAAUCUUUUUUGUUUUAAAUGUUCUUGGUGAAAUCUAGUAUAGAUUGUGGUAUUCUUGUGAUGAUUAUGUUCUCUGAUUGAGCAGUUGGUUAGGUUACUCUGAUGUAAUCGAUUUGUGAGAGAAUAAGAGAGUUUUAGAGUCUGAGGGUUA